CCUACGGGUGGCUGCAGUCGAGAAUCAUUCACAAUGGGGAAAACCCUGAUGGUGCGACGCCGCGUGGGGGAAUGCAGGUCUUCGGAUUGUAAACCCCUGUUGUGUGGGAGCAAAUUCACACGAUAGUACCACAAGAGGAAGAGACGGCUAACCCUGUGCCAGCAGCCGCGGUAAUACAGAGGUCUCAAGCGGUAGUCGGCAUCCCUGGGCGUAAAGCGUGCGUAGGCUGGUUCGUCAGUCGGGUGUGAAAGGCGCGGGCUCAAACGGCGGACGGCACAUGAUACUGGGAGUCUAGAGUGGGGGAGGAGGAAGCGGAAUGCGCGGGGUAGCAGUGAAAUGCGUAGAUAUCGAGAGGAACACUCGGGGCGAAGGCGGGUUCCUGGACAUUAACUGACGCUGAGGCACGAAGGCCAGGGGAGCGAAAGGGAUUAGAUACCCCAGUAGUC
This 446-nucleotide ribosomal RNA is filed under the name uncultured bacterium. RNAcentral's name for it is "partial 16S ribosomal RNA". It matches the Rfam family "Bacterial small subunit ribosomal RNA", at positions 338 to 795 of the family's 1533-position model. The record is from RNAcentral.